AGUCGAGGGGCAGCAUUUCAGUUUGCUUGCAAACUGGAGAUGGCGACCGGCGCACGGGUGAGUAACACGUAUCCAACCUGCCGAUAACUCGGGGAUAGCCUUUCGAAAGAAAGAUUAAUACCCGAUGGUAUAAUCAGACCGCAUGGUCUUGUUAUUAAAGAAUUUCGGUUAUCGAUGGGGAUGCGUUCCAUUAGGCAGUUGGUGAGGUAACGGCUCACCAAACCUUCGAUGGAUAGGGGUUCUGAGAGGAAGGUCCCCCACAUUGGAACUGAGACACGGUCCAAACUCCUACGGGAGGCAGCAGUGAGGAAUAUUGGUCAAUGGGCGCAGGCCUGAACCAGCCAAGUAGCGUGAAGGAUGACUGCCCUAUGGGUUGUAAACUUCUUUUAUAUGGGAAUAAAGUUUUCCACGUGUGGAAUUUUGUAUGUACCAUAUGAAUAAGGAUCGGCUAACUCCGUGCCAGCAGCCGCGGUAAUACGGAGGAUCCGAGCGUUAUCCGGAUUUAUUGGGUUUAAAGGGAGCGUAGGUGGACAGUUAAGUCAGUUGUGAAAGUUUGCGGCUCAACCGUAAAAUUGCAGUUGAUACUGGCUGUCUUGAGUACAGUAGAGGUGGGCGGAAUUCGUGGUGUAGCGGUGAAAUGCUUAGAUAUCACGAAGAACUCCGAUUGCGAAGGCAGCUCACUGGACUGCAACUGACACUGAUGCUCGAAAGUGUGGGUAUCAAACAGGAUUAGAUACCCUGGUAGUCCACACAGUAAACGAUGAAUACUCGCUGUUUGCGAUAUACAGUAAGCGGCCAAGCGAAAGCAUUAAGUAUUCCACCUGGGGAGUACGCCGGCAACGGUGAAACUCAAAGGAAUUGACGGGGGCCCGCACAAGCGGAGGAACAUGUGGUUUAAUUCGAUGAUACGCGAGGAACCUUACCCGGGCUUAAAUUGCAUUUGAAUAUAUUGGAAACAGUAUAGCCGUAAGGCAAAUGUGAAGGUGCUGCAUGGUUGUCGUCAGCUCGUGCCGUGAGGUGUCGGCUUAAGUGCCAUAACGAGCGCAACCCUUAUCUUUAGUUACUAACAGGUCAUGCUGAGGACUCUAGAGAGACUGCCGUCGUAAGAUGUGAGGAAGGUGGGGAUGACGUCAAAUCAGCACGGCCCUUACGUCCGGGGCUACACACGUGUUACAAUGGGGGGUACAGAAGGCAGCUACCUGGUGACAGGAUGCUAAUCCCAAAAGCCUCUCUCAGUUCGGAUCGAAGUCUGCAACCCGACUUCGUGAAGCUGGAUUCGCUAGUAAUCGCGCAUCAGCCAUGGCGCGGUGAAUACGUUCCCGGGCCUUGUACACACCGCCCGUCAAGCCAUGAAAGCCGGGGGUACCUGAAGUACGAACCGCAAGGAGCUCCUAGG
This 1396-nucleotide ribosomal RNA is filed under the name bacterium NLAE-zl-P700. RNAcentral's name for it is "16S ribosomal RNA". It matches the Rfam family "Bacterial small subunit ribosomal RNA". The record is from RNAcentral.